Molecule: ribosomal RNA, 245 nt
Filed under: uncultured Mycoplasma sp.
Lineage: Bacteria; Bacillati; Mycoplasmatota; Mollicutes; Mycoplasmatales; Mycoplasmataceae
Description: partial 16S ribosomal RNA
Rfam family: Bacterial small subunit ribosomal RNA
Source: RNAcentral
GACAGAAGGUGCAAGCGUUACUCGGAAUUACUGGGCGUAAAGCGUCUGUAGGUGUCUGUCCACGUCUGGUGCUAAAUUGCGGGGCUCAACCCCGUAUCUGUACUGGAAACGAGACGGAUCGAGUCACUCAGAGGCAUCUGGAAUGUCGUGAGUAGGGGUAAAAUCCGUAGAUACACGAUGGAACGCCAAAAGCGAAGGCAGGAUGCGUAGGGGUGUACUGACACUCAGAGACGGAAAGCGGUGGG